UCCCCUAUCUGGGGACCAUAUAUUAAAUGGAUUUUUGGAACAGGGAGAUGAAGAAGAGCUUGCUCUGUCCACUCCAUGCAUUGACCUGGUAUUGCAGUACCCCCAGGACCGGUGCACCUCUC
This 122-nucleotide small RNA is filed under the name Pelobates cultripes (western spadefoot toad). It matches the Rfam family "U2 spliceosomal RNA", at positions 69 to 192 of the family's 192-position model. Rfam says of the family: U2 is a small nuclear RNA (snRNA) component of the spliceosome (involved in pre-mRNA splicing). Complementary binding between U2 snRNA (in an area lying towards the 5' end but 3' to hairpin I) and the branchpoint sequence (BPS) of the intron results the bulging out of an unpaired adenosine, on the BPS, which initiates a nucleophilic attack at the intronic 5' splice site, thus starting the first of two transesterification reactions that mediate splicing. The record is from RNAcentral. Lineage: Eukaryota; Metazoa; Chordata; Amphibia; Anura; Pelobatidae.